Long non-coding RNA from Orcinus orca (killer whale), 402 nucleotides. RefSeq lists it as uncharacterized. Lineage: Eukaryota; Metazoa; Chordata; Mammalia; Artiodactyla; Delphinidae. The record is from RefSeq and is a predicted model, not a curated record. The transcript has 2 exons.
CACAUAUAUAUGGAAUCUAAAAAAAAAAAAAAGGGCCUGAAGAACCUAGGGGCAGGACAGGAGUAAAGACACAGAUGUAGAGAAUGGACUUGAGGACACGGAGAGGGGGAAGGGUAAGCUGGGAUGAAGUGAGAGAGUGGCAUGGACAUAUAUAUACACUACCAAACGUAAGGUAGAUAGCUAGUGGGAAGCAGCCGCAUGGCACAGGGAUAUUGGCUCGGUGCUUUGUGACAGCCUGGAGAGGUGGGAUAGGGAGGGUGGGAGGGAGGGAGACGCAAGAGGGAAGACAUAUGGGAACAUAUGUUUAUGUAUGACUGAUUCACUUUGUUAUAAAGCAGAAACUAACACACCAUUGUAAAGCAAUUAUACCCCAAUAAAGAUGUUAAAAAAAAAAAAAAAGAU